UACGUAGGGUGCGAGCGUUGUCCGGAAUUAUUGGGCGUAAAGAGCUUGUAGGCGGUUUGUCGCGUCUGCUGUGAAAAUCCGGGGCUCAACCCCGGACUUGCAGUGGGUACGGGCAGACUAGAGUGUGGUAGGGGAGACUGGAAUCCCUGGUGUAGCGGUGAAAUGCGCAGAUAUCAGGAGGAACACCGAUGGCGAAGGCAGGUCUCUGGGCCACUACUGACGCUGAGAAGCGAAAGCAUGGGGAGCGAACAGG
Molecule: ribosomal RNA, 253 nt
Filed under: uncultured bacterium
Lineage: Bacteria
Description: partial 16S ribosomal RNA
Rfam family: Bacterial small subunit ribosomal RNA
Source: RNAcentral